Molecule: ribosomal RNA, 253 nt
Filed under: uncultured bacterium
Lineage: Bacteria
Description: partial 16S ribosomal RNA
Rfam family: Bacterial small subunit ribosomal RNA
Source: RNAcentral
UACGGAGGGUGCAAGCGUUAUCCGGAUUCACUGGGUUUAAAGGGUGCGUAGGCGGGUUGGUAAGUCAGUGGUGAAAUCUUCAAGCUUAACUUGGAAACUGCCGUUGAUACUAUCAAUCUUGAAUAUUGUGGAGGUAAGCGGAAUAUGUCAUGUAGCGGUGAAAUGCUUAGAUAUGACAUAGAACACCAAUUGCGAAGGCAGCUCGCUACACGAAUAUUGACUCUGAGGCACGAAAGCGUGGGGAUCAAACAGG